Molecule: long non-coding RNA, 3211 nt
Organism: Heterocephalus glaber (naked mole-rat)
Lineage: Eukaryota; Metazoa; Chordata; Mammalia; Rodentia; Bathyergidae
Source: RefSeq, a predicted model, not a curated record
GCGCAUGUGCGUGCGCACACACUGAGGAAUUGUGACGUCUCCAAACAGCAAGAGGUUAUGGAGAUUUCAUCUGCAGAGGGGGAGGAAUUCUUUACUUCGAAUGAGAUCAGGGUGAUGUGUAAAAUGCAGGAUCCAUGCAAAAUUUUGUAGAAAAGUGCCACCGGAUAAGGCUGUAGCAGUGGGAGUGAUGAAUCUGUUUAACGACAAUACAAUGUCAAAUUUCUGUGAAAUCCUCAAAAGGAGGCAAAAGCAUCAUUAAAGUUGCAUGAAAAGAAAGAGAUUCCAUUGAGCCAGUAGAUAGCAGUGAUUCCAUUAGUGAUCGUGAAAGUCAUCUACACAACGAUCUCUCGUCUCCCUCACACCAGCUAUGAAGGUUUUCAAAGCUUACCUUGUCACCAGAACAUACCUAUGAGCUCCUUGUUGCGGACAUCUAGAGCCAUAUUCCUCAAGGCAGUUGCCACAGAAGAGACAACUCUAUCGUUAUCCAUCCUCAGAAGUUCAACAAGGAUGGGGAGCCCUUUUUCUUUUCGGACAGCUGCCCGGAUGUACGCUGCAAACUAGCAAGCAAAAUAAGGCAGUACCUGGGAUCGAACUUGGGACCUUGUGCUUGUAAAGCAGGCGGUGGAACCACUGAACUAAGUCCCCGGCCCCAGUACUGUCAUUUUAAAAGAAUCACCCAUGUUGUAGUUCAUAUCAAGAUUUCUAGACAGGAGACUUAAAACAUAGCUUAUUAGAGUGUUAUUUAAAUUGUUAAGCAUAUCAGAGGGUCUUCAUUUCUGUGUCAACUAUGAUAUGGGUUAAACUGUUAUAGCAUAUACAUUUUCAAAUAAUGUUCAUGUAGAAAUUAGAGAGUUAGAGGUUAACAUUUACCCUAAUGCUAUCUUCACACUGCUGUGUUUUCCUGAGUGAGAAGAAAGAGGUAGAGGGGAGAUGGUUCAGAUGCUUUUCUAAGCACUAAAGUUUCUCAGAGUUCCACAGUCCUGACAUAUCCUUGGCAAGCUGUUCAACUGCCUUUACUGUGCCUUCACAACUAUCAACACAAAUACGCUGCAGCCCUGUGGAGAGGAAGGAGCUGGAAAAUCUGCCAGCAUCUGUGGGAGCAUGAUAGGCUUGCCAACACGACUGAUCAAGAGCACUGGCUGGAGAUGAGACUUGUAAAUGGCAGCUCCAGAGUAGUGUGAGCCAUAGCGCCAACCUGGAAACUGCCUGCUCAGCCCUCUAUAGGCAUGUUGUAAAGAAGGAUCUACAAAAGGGCAGCAAGCAGCUUUUUCCUUUGGAGACAAAGGAGAGGUGAAAGCAAAUGGCUACAACUGAAGUGAGUAAAACAUCAUCCUGAUUGUACUUAGAGGAUCAGCCCUCCCUGUGUCUACCCACGUGUGGCAGAGGCAGUGGUCAGCAAGAAGGGCCAAUGCUUUGGCUCUGUUCUGGUCCUGGGUUGUCUUUUGCACCUGUGUCCACCCCUUUUCUCUUUCACUUAGCUUUGAUUUCUGACCUUGUUAAUGUGAUUCCCAUAUUGUCCUCUGCCCUAGGACUCUCCCCCUUCUCUCUCUUACACUACCACUGCAGCCUGUCAGAACCUCAGCCUCUGGAGUAGCAUAUAUGGUUAGGCCUGGACUGUUGUCUCUUAAAGAGUGGUGGGAACUGGACGGGAGUGGAAUUUAGUUCAGAAUCAGGACAAGACCUAAGAAUGAGAAACAAUUCAUUGGUCUGUCCUGGCCAAAUAACAGGAAAAGGGAGAGAAGGCAAAAGAGUGGGUCAAGGGAUAGAAGGAUGGGUGAUAGUUGCCAUCACAAAUGUGGCUUCAACAUUUUCUAGUAAUGAGGUCAGCCACACUCAACCUAGGGUACCAAUGGGGAUUGCCAAGUGGCAUCAGCCAGCCAGUGGCAGCAUGUGGCCCAUAAGCCAUGGAUAAGGAAAGUAUCAUUUCUUAACCUCCCCUGCUGACAAUUUUGUAACAUGAUUCCUAAUGCCACAGGUGCAAUUCUCUUUCUGUCAAAGCCUUUCAAACUCCUCACUUCACAAAAUUCAAUUCAUGGGAGUGGGACCUCCAUUUCAAUAAGCUACUUUCUGCUUCACAGAGUAAAUACAUUCCAGUAAACUGCAAGGCAAGGUUUAUGAAAAGUAAAAGCUAUCAUAUAAGAGGAUAUAAAUAUAAAAUUAGAUAAUAUAGUUGCUUUUUAGUAUUCAGAGGGGAUGCUUCUGGUUCCCUAUAGAUACCAAAAUGUGCAUAUUGCAGCCCCUUAUAUCAAAUGGCAUGUGUGGUAUUUGCAUAUAACCUACACAUUCUCUUAUAUACUUCAAGUCAACUCUAGAUUAUUUAUAAUACCCAAUACAAUGUAGAAACUCAAAACACUUGUUAUACCAUAUUUUUGUGCUUUUAUUUUUGUAUUGCAUUUCUUGUCUGCUUUCCUAAAUACAUUUUGAUGUGCAGCUGGCAGACUCUGCAGAUGCAGAAUCUGGACCUCUGAUUACAUAUCUUUAUAAAAAAGUUAAACCUGUGCUACAAACUUCAGGUUAAAUCAUGACUAGCGAGAAGGGUGGUUCUUCAGCAUCUUGAACCUUGUGGCUGAUGCUGAGAAUUUCUCUUACAGAUGACAGGAAAAUCUGUUAUUUGUUGUUCUUGUCUCUGACCCUGACUACUUCUGGCAAGAGGAUAUUUCCCACUCUUGAGGAUUGUGCUAGAAUUUUGCUUUUCUUUUUCUUUUUCCUUUUCUCAGGCAUUUAGAUUUAUGUCAUUCUAUAGUUUACUAUUAGCUAUUGUAUUUACUUGGGAUUGGACAUAGUAUAAACAUUCAUAAAUCAAUAUAAACAAAGGUCUUACCAUUUUUUGUGGGUUUAUUCUGUGUAAAGUACUUGUGUACUUCACAUAUGAUAUUUUAGAGUCUAGGUGUCCCAAAUGAAUCAACUUUCUCAUUUGAUUGUUUUAUAGUCUUCAAAUUCUACACGUUGAUUUUUUUAAAAGGAUGAAAAAUGCUUGUAUUUCUAAAUUUUAAUUUAAAUUUCAUUAAGCAAGUGUAAUGAGGAGCUACUGAAUACCAUCCAUUCAUUUAGGUUAUGCAAGUGACAUAGAAGCUGCUCAAAUAUAUUUGUUGGUGGAUUUACUUUAUAGUCUGUAUUUGAUUUUAAUUUUUCUUUUAUUUUCUGCCUGUUAGAUUUAGCUUAGAGCUACUACUUUCUCUUUGUGCCUUUUCUUAAAGCUGAGUAUGUGCAU